UACGUAGGGUGCGAGCGUUGUCCGGAAUUACUGGGCGUAAAGAGCUCGUAGGUGGUUUUGUCGCGUUGUCCGUGAAAAACUCACAACUCAAUUGUGGGCGUGCGGGCGAUACGGGCAGACUGGAGUACUGCAGGGGAGACUGGAAUUCCUGGUGUAGCGGUGGAAUGCGCAGAUAUCAGGAGGAACACCGGUGGCGAAGGCGGGUCUCUGGGCCGAUACUGACGCUGAGGAGCGAAAGCGUGGGGAGCGAACAGG
RNAcentral lists this ribosomal RNA (255 nucleotides) under uncultured bacterium. Its description in RNAcentral is "partial 16S ribosomal RNA". It matches the Rfam family "Bacterial small subunit ribosomal RNA", at positions 524 to 776 of the family's 1533-position model. The record is from RNAcentral.